GACGAACGCUGGCGGCGUGGAUUAGGCAUGCAAGUCGAACGGUAGGAUACCUUCGGGUAUCUGAGAGUGGCGAACGGGUGAGUAACACGUAGGUGAUCUACCCUCAAGAUUGGGACAACCCAGGGAAACUUGGGCUAAUACCGGAUGAAAGCAGCAGUGAUGUUGUUUGAAAGGUGGCGUAAGCUGCCGUUUGGGGAUGAGCCUGCGCUCUAUUAGUUAGUUGGUGAGGUAACGGCUCACCUAGGCAAUGAUAGGUAGGCGGCCUUAACGGGUGGUCGCCCACACUGGGAUUGAGAUACGGCCCAGACUCCUACGGGAGGCAGCAGUCGAGAAUAGUCUACAAUGGCCGAAAGGCUGAUAGUGCGACGCCGCGUGAACGAAGAAGCCCUUCGGGGUGUAAAGUUCUUUUAUAUGUGAGCAGUGCUUUCUAUGUGAACAGCAUGGGGAGAGAGAUAUUAGCAUAUGAAUAAGCAACGGCUAACUCCGUGCCAGCA
This 494-nucleotide ribosomal RNA is filed under the name uncultured bacterium. Its description in RNAcentral is "bacterial SSU rRNA". It matches the Rfam family "Bacterial small subunit ribosomal RNA", at positions 28 to 513 of the family's 1533-position model. The record is from RNAcentral.